GACGAACGCUGACGGUGUGCUUUAGACAUGCAAGUCGAACGAGAAAGCCCUUCGGGUUAGUAAAGUGGCGAACGGGUGAGUAACACGUGGGCAAUCUGCCCCUCGCAGGGGGGACAACCGGAGGAAACCCCGGCUAAUACCCCGUAAGUUCAAAGGGAGGCAUCUCCCCUUGAAGAAAGGUAGCUUCGGCCAUCCGGCGAGGGAUGAGCCCGCGGUGCAUUAGCUAGUUGGGUGGGGUAACGGCCCACCAAGGCGACGAUGCAUAGCUGGUCUGAGAGGAUGAUCAGCCACACUGGGACUGAGACACGGCCCAGACUCCUACGGGAGGCAGCAGUCGGGAAUCUUGCGCAAUGGGCGAAAGCCUGACGCAGCAACACCGUGUGUGUGAGGAAGGCCCUCGGG
Molecule: ribosomal RNA, 402 nt
Filed under: uncultured bacterium
Lineage: Bacteria
Description: bacterial SSU rRNA
Rfam family: Bacterial small subunit ribosomal RNA
Source: RNAcentral